GAGUGGGAAGGAAGCCAGGCUCCCUGGACGCUGAUGAAACGUGUCUGUUGUGGGCCUGUUGGGCAACGCUGAAACUGGGGAGGAAGGAACAGCAACCGCUGAGUCUCCUGCUGGGUCCGAGGAGGCUUGAGCAACGCCCCCAGCAGUUGCCUCAUCUCUGCCAAGCAGGGUGAUGAUGCCCCAGGGUGGGGUGUUGCACCAUGUUCUUAGAAAGCUGCCUCUGUACAUGCAUUUCCAUUUGGGGCCUGGACUGGUUUUGUUUAAUCAUUGUCUUUUUCACUUCCAAAUUUCUGAGGGCAAAUUGGGAGACCAUGAUGUGGUGAAAUGAUCAUUAGCCAACUUUCCCUGAGUACUUACUCCACAUCCUGUACUGUGCUAAGUCCCUUCAUGUACGUGAUCUCGUGGAAUGCACACACCAACCCUCUCAGUUACCCACGGUCAAGCUCCCAAAGCAGAUGAUCCUCCUUCCAAGGUAUCGGCAGAAGAUCAGAAGUGGCCUAACGCGACGUCACAGUGCCUACGUCAUUCGCCUCAUCACAUCUCAUCACGUGGGCCUUUUAUCAUCUCACAUCAUCACAGGAACAAGGGUGCUGAGCGAGGCCCGGCGCACGUCGUCCUCCGACCUCUCCACAUGCUUACAAGGUUAGCUGUCCUUCCCCCAUUUAA
Molecule: long non-coding RNA, 666 nt
Organism: Lynx canadensis (Canada lynx)
Lineage: Eukaryota; Metazoa; Chordata; Mammalia; Carnivora; Felidae
Exons: 3
Source: RefSeq, a predicted model, not a curated record